CCUACGGGAGGCAGCAGUGAGGAAUAUUGGUCAAUGGUAGAGAUCCUGACCCAGCCAAGCCGCGUGAGGGAAGACGGCCCUAUGUGUUGUAAACCUCUUUUGUCGGAGCACAAAACCUGGGACGAGUCCCGGAAUGAGUCUAGCCGAAGAAAAAGCAUCGGCUAACUCCGUGCCAGCAGCCGCGGUAAUACGGAGGAUGCGAGCGUUAUCCGGAUUUAUUGGGUUUAAAGGGUGCGUAGGCGGUCUGUUACGUCAGCGGUAAACUUGCGGGGCUCAACACCGGCGAGCCGUUGAGACUGGCAUGCUUGAGUUGGCGAGAAGUACGCGGAAUGCGCGGUGUAGCGGUGAAAUGCAUAGAUAUUGCGCAGAACUCCGAUUGCGAAGGCAGCAUACCGGCGCCAGACUGACGCUGAGGCACGAAAGCGUGGGGAUCGAACAGGAUUAGAUACCCCUGUAGUC
RNAcentral lists this ribosomal RNA (459 nucleotides) under uncultured bacterium. RNAcentral's name for it is "partial 16S ribosomal RNA". It matches the Rfam family "Bacterial small subunit ribosomal RNA", at positions 338 to 795 of the family's 1533-position model. The record is from RNAcentral.